UGCAGGCUUUGGAUGAUUUCACUUAUGCUUCUUAUUUGGGGCAGAGUAGGUUCAAUUUAAACUAGCACCGUAUGUGUUUUCAGACAACAGAUUACUGCUACGCGGACGUGAUUCCCUAAAACCAAAGUCAGAUGGACUUACAUUUGUUAAGGAUUGUGCCUAUGGCUAGAAGUGUUCCCUUUCUCUUGCAUCAGCCAUAUUUGGUUCUUGGCUCUUCUUUUGAACCUUGCGAAGACAAUUUUAAGUCAGAAUGACAGAAUAAGUCAUUCGCUGGUGCACGGAUUAUGUUCACAAUGCAUUCUGGAUGGUUGUUUAAUUGACUCGUGCUCUCUGGUCUACAGGUUCACUCUUUGGUGUUACACAACCUUCAGGAGGUUCGUUUCAGCUGCGUCGUGCACAAAUACCGCAGUGAUGAUCAUCAGACUUGGCAGACUGACUCCUGGAUACUUCCGUCUCCUGCAGAGGCAGGUAGCAGGUGAGGUUCAGGCCCCAACUCCCGACCGCUCCGUCAACCAGAUCGCCAUGCUGCUGGCCAUCAUGGGCCUCAGCCUGUCCUACUACAGUGCCAAACAGAUGAUGGAGAAGGUUCGCCACAAACCCGCCCCGUGAAGAUGUGCGUAUGUGCUCCGGAUCAACGGCAUCUGGAGAAGACUAAGCCAAUCUGAAGAUGUUCAGACUUUGUCAAAAUACCUUUCUAUAACCUUCAGGGAUCACACACACCGCAGGACUUCCGCUUAGGGGUUCUCUUGCUUUAGUUUAGCUCUCAAUGGGAUCUGGAAGGGGUUGUGGCCUGAGUUUUGAUAGUUGACUUGAUACAUGCAUCAGAGAGUCCAUUAAUGGGUUGCUGCAGGUUCAAAACUCAAGCUCCACCAAUGCAUGAGUAAAUCUGGAGCUCAACUCUGAGCCAUAAUGUCUUUUAAAGGGAAGGACCUCUGUAUUUGAGAUGUACCAAGCAACUAUUUAAAGCAGGUCCAGUGCACAAGGGUGAAAUGCUCAGAUUUCCCCCCCAAAAGAUGCUUUUGAAGAACGUCAAAGCCUUGAGGACUAAUAGUGGAGGUGCUGCUCUACAAUACUACACUUGGUGUCAGACACUUUAGGAAAUUUACUACACAAAGAGCGUUUGAGGACCUUAUGUUAAAGUGACUUGAUCUUUUCAUUAUAACUUGUACUAACAAAUUUCUCCAACUCUUUAGAUGUUAAUGCCGACUUUGUGUGCAAUUGCAUGAGUUGAAGCCGUUUGUUUUAGUGAAACCAAUCCAUAAUGUUGUUUCUAAUACUUUAUGAUCAUGUGAUUUAUGAUGCUGAAUGUAUUGUAUGUUAUAUUUUUAAGACACAACAAUCAAAUAAAGCUGUGACUAUUUUGAACACUAUCAAGUCAUGACUCAAGAUUUAGAAGAACAUUGUGAAGUUCGUCUGACUCAUCGCUGUUGAUAAAAUGUGAUUCUCACUGAGUCAAGUUUUAUACAAACCAUAUGAGGUUUUCCUGUCGGCAGAAGCGUGCUGUUGAACAGGAAGUGGGCACAGUCUCAGGCAACGGCUUCCUCGAUCUGCAUGCGAUAUUUGUCUACCAGCCUUCUGCAGCUGGCUUUGUCUGACCCACUUACCAAGUUCAAUAGACCUCAAUUAAACAUUUGCACACCAAGUAACUUGAGGUUAUAUUACAUUGCAUUCUCAACGCUUCCAAAAGGGUUGGGUGUUUUUUUUUUUUGUUGCUAAAUAAAUUAAACUAACCUUCAUGUGUUCUGGAAAUUGACUUGGAGAGGGUUUUCUUUUCCACCAGAAAAUGCUAGAAAAUGUUAUCGCAUUACACUAUACUAAAAUAUACUGACCUCCCAAAAUUAUAAUUAAUUUUUUUUACAUUUGUGGUGUUCCCAG
Molecule: long non-coding RNA, 1875 nt
Organism: Sinocyclocheilus grahami
Lineage: Eukaryota; Metazoa; Chordata; Actinopteri; Cypriniformes; Cyprinidae
Source: Ensembl